This 759-nucleotide ribosomal RNA is filed under the name uncultured Micrococcus sp. RNAcentral's name for it is "bacterial SSU rRNA". It matches the Rfam family "Bacterial small subunit ribosomal RNA", at positions 372 to 1142 of the family's 1533-position model. Lineage: Bacteria; Bacillati; Actinomycetota; Actinomycetes; Micrococcales; Micrococcaceae. The record is from RNAcentral.
UGGGCGAAGCCUGAUGCAGCGACGCCGCGUGAGGGAUGACGGCCUUCGGGUUGUAAACCUCUUUCAGUAGGGAAGAAGCGAAAGUGACGGUACCUGCAGAAGAAGCACCGGCUAACUACGUGCCAGCAGCCGCGGUAAUACGUAGGGUGCGAGCGUUAUCCGGAAUUAUUGGGCGUAAAGAGCUCGUAGGCGGUUUGUCGCGUCUGUCGUGAAAGUCCGGGGCUUAACCCCGGAUCUGCGGUGGGUACGGGCAGACUAGAGUGCAGUAGGGGAGACUGGAAUUCCUGGUGUAGCGGUGGAAUGCGCAGAUAUCAGGAGGAACACCGAUGGCGAAGGCAGGUCUCUGGGCUGUAACUGACGCUGAGGAGCGAAAGCAUGGGGAGCGAACAGGAUUAGAUACCCUGGUAGUCCAUGCCGUAAACGUUGGGCACUAGGUGUGGGGACCAUUCCACGGUUUCCGCGCCGCAGCUAACGCAUUAAGUGCCCCGCCUGGGGAGUACGGCCGCAAGGCUAAAACUCAAAGGAAUUGACGGGGGCCCGCACAAGCGGCGGAGCAUGCGGAUUAAUUCGAUGCAACGCGAAGAACCUUACCAAGGCUUGACAUGUUCUCGAUCGCCGUAGAGAUACGGUUUCCCCUUUGGGGCGGGUUCACAGGUGGUGCAUGGUUGUCGUCAGCUCGUGGCAUGAGAUGUUGGGUUAAGUCCCGCAACGAGCGCAACCCUCGUUCCAUGUUGCCAGCACGUCAUGUUGUGCACUCAU